RNAcentral lists this small nucleolar RNA (68 nucleotides) under Leishmania donovani. Its description in RNAcentral is "H/ACA box snoRNA LD36Cs-1H2". Lineage: Eukaryota; Euglenozoa; Kinetoplastea; Trypanosomatida; Trypanosomatidae. The record is from RNAcentral.
CGAUGCCUUUAGGUCCUUCGCCGUGUUCUUUCCGCACACGGCAAAGUUAUUCUGCGGCGUCUAGAUUU